GGGCUGUUCGCACAGUGGUAGUGCGCCCGCUUCGCAUGCGGGAGGUCGUGGUCGAUUCCCACAUAGUCCA
This is a non-coding RNA of Aspergillus viridinutans, 70 nucleotides long. NCBI's taxonomy places the organism in Eukaryota, Fungi, Ascomycota, Eurotiomycetes, Eurotiales, Aspergillaceae. The record is from the annotation of a RefSeq genome assembly.